AAGAAGUCAGGCCGGAUUAAGCCAUAGUACGGUAAGAGCUAUGCUGCCUGUGAGCCCCGUCUAAGGACGUAAAAUGAAGUCAGGCCGAAAGCCACGGCUUGAGCAAACCGUGCUGCCUGUAGCUCCAUCGUGGGGAUGUAAAAACCUGGGAGGCUGCAACCCAUGGAAGCUGUACGCAUGGGGUAGCAGACUAGUGGUUAGAGGAGACCCCUCCCGAAACAUAACGCAGCAGCGGGGCCCAACACCAGGGGAAGCUGUACCCUGGUGGUAAGGACUAGAGGUUAGAGGAGACCCCCCGCAUAACAAUAAACAGCAUA
This 317-nucleotide long non-coding RNA is filed under the name dengue virus type 1. Its description in RNAcentral is "Dengue virus 1 partial sfRNA1". The stretch from base 233 to 304 matches the Rfam family "Flavivirus DB element". The record is from RNAcentral. Lineage: Riboviria; Orthornavirae; Kitrinoviricota; Flasuviricetes; Amarillovirales; Flaviviridae.